GCCUACUUAGCUAAGUUGGUAGUGCGUCUGCCUUGUAAGCGCUAGGCCGCGGGUUCGAUUCCCGCCCGGGGCG
RNAcentral lists this transfer RNA (73 nucleotides) under Diaphorina citri (Asian citrus psyllid). It matches the Rfam family "tRNA". From Rfam's summary of the family: Transfer RNA (tRNA) molecules are approximately 80 nucleotides in length. The record is from Rfam by way of RNAcentral. Lineage: Eukaryota; Metazoa; Arthropoda; Insecta; Hemiptera; Psyllidae.